Molecule: long non-coding RNA, 401 nt
Filed under: Rosa chinensis
Lineage: Eukaryota; Viridiplantae; Streptophyta; Magnoliopsida; Rosales; Rosaceae
Description: sRNA RchiOBHm_Chr2g0131071
Source: RNAcentral
GCUGUAGUGCAUCGUUUUGAUUUAUUCUUGAACCAGUGAGUUCACCUUGAUGUUCUUAACAACUCACCAGAAGGAAUAGAGGCCUGAAAUUGAAGUUUUUACGUCGAAAUCUUGGCUCGCCGGUUUCUGCAUUUCUUCGCCGGUUUCUGGAAAAUUUCCGGCCACCUUCAACUGUUCUAGGUGAUUGACGGUUUUUACUGGGCGAGCGAGUUUGGUGUGAUUGUGUUAUUUUGAAGACGCAGCGGGAUUAUCGAGCGGGAAAUCCUGCAGGUCAGGAGAACCAAGACGGUGAUCGGGCUGCUUAGAGUGGUAGCACUUGAGUUACAACAUUUUGUGAGGUUGUUAUGCUCAUUGAGCUUACAUGUAAUUUUGGGGAGAGUGCGAGGUGUGUUUAUUUGUGA